Gallus gallus (chicken) is the source of this 979-nucleotide long non-coding RNA. RefSeq lists it as uncharacterized. The record is from RefSeq and is a predicted model, not a curated record. The transcript has 4 exons. NCBI's taxonomy places the organism in Eukaryota, Metazoa, Chordata, Aves, Galliformes, Phasianidae.
UAUGGUGGAUGGAAGCACAGUGGGAGAUUAUAUGCUUCCUUUAAUUCUAGCAAUAGCAAAGACAUAAUUUUGACUCUCAGUACAUCUGAUGAGUUUCUCAUAAUUACUAAGAAAACACCCUAUGCAUUUAGUUUAUUCAUGUUUGGCAAUGACCAUGUCUUGAAUUACUGACAUGUAAUAUAGAAAAACAGUUAUUUAAAUUCAAAUUUAAAGAAUGUAUUACUGAAGUAUAACCUGUAAUAUCGAAGAGUGUGAUUUCCCAAUUGUGAAAUGGUGUAACAGCAGGCCUUACAAAAUACUAUCACAGUACACACUGUUUGCAGAAAGAACUACUGUGGCUUCUAAAAAGACUUUCUAUUUAAAAGAUUAAGAAGCUUGCAUUAUGCUACAGCACUCCUUUGGAUAAGUGCAAGGGGCUCCUCUGUUCCAAUGAGCUGCUACUCACAAUCUUUCAUGUGUGAAUUUGUAGGUUGGUUUUAUGGGGAGGUUGGUAAAAAGGAAAAUACGUACAGUAAUACCUUUGCCCAGUAGGUGACUUGUUCUGAAAGUGUUACUGUGUCCAGCCACGACCCAAAUAUCCCAGCACAACCAGGCAGCCUCCAAGACUGCUAUUCCAGUGCGGCAUAUAAUAAUAUUUCCCAGAUGAACUCCCUGAAUGAAACAACUUGCCACUCUUUCAGAUCGCCUCAGGAGAUGACAGGAGCUUCUUUCCCUGAACUGGCUUGGAACACAGAAGUAAAAACAUUCCAUGGCAUUUGUAUUUCAUCUAUGCACUUCAACUCUACCCAUCACUAUAGUGUCUGCUGGUCUUUCAUUCUCUGAAAUUAUAAUGGAGGAGAAAAAUUAUAUAUGAAGAUGAACGAAACCAGCUCUGGGCAGUUACUCAAGAUCAAGAUGAAAGUAAAUUAUCUCAGAAAAUAGGGGAACACCAUGAAAGUUCUGUGCAAGUGUGACCUGAAUAAAACAUGGUACACAAUGA